AUGAACAAAAAGUUCCUCUUCUUUGUCCUCAAGCCCCUGAUUCAUUCAUACAUCUUCCUCUUCUAUAUCCAAAUCAGAACCACCUCGUGUUCUCCGGAUCCUAAGUUCGAAACAUGUCAACCCAAAACCUGCGGCAACAACCUAACUAUAAGCUACCCGUUCUACAUCCUAGGAAUACAAGAACCCUUUUGUGGGUACCCAGGUUUCGGUCUCUCUUGUGCCAAAAAUGGUUUUCCAAUCCUCAAUCUGUCUAAUACCCAAUACAUCAUCGAUCAAAUAUUCUACGACAAUCGGUCACUACGAGUGUCCAAUGCUGUAUUUUCAAUUUCAACAUCAAACACCACCAAAGGUUGUCUUCCUCCCACCCAGAACCUCACACUUGCCAAUAACGUGUUCCAUCUUGCUCCGAACCAAAAGGACAUGAUAUUGUUCUUCGGCUGUGACUUACAAUCGCUGCCCACAGGGCUGCAAGAGCACAGAAUCGGUUGUUCUGCAGAAAACGAAACGAGUUCGGUUGUGGCAUUGUAUAAGGAUGAUAAAAAUCUAAGCUUUGCAUCAGAAAAUUGCAAGGGUGAGGUGGUGGAUGCGAUAGUGGAAGAUGGGUAUGGAGGGAUUGAAGAGGCGCUGAGAAAAGGGUUCUGGUUGAAUUGGACGGCCAGUGAUUGCAGCUUGUGCAGAAGCACUGGAGGGAGGUGCGGCUUUGAUUCUGAUAUAUACACUUUCAGGUGCUACUGCACUGACAGAGUUCAUGCUUCCGAUUGUGGUCCAGCUACAGCAAAGCCAAAAAGGUUGCGUAGGAAUGUCAAACUUUGUAUAGGUUUAGGUGUUGGAAUCCUAGGCAUCUUGAUAAUUGGGUUGCUGUUGCUUUUUCUACUCUACAAACGAAAACAUGCUACCUCAGGUGGACACUUACAAUCAGGAAAUUCUUAUUCUGAUUCCUCCUUAAAUCCACGCUCAGAAAGUGGUAGUGUAUACUUUGGAGUUCCACUCUUCUCCUACGAGAAGCUUAAAGAAGCAACAAACAAUUUCGACCAUACUAGAGAACUUGGAGAUGGAGGCUUUGGUACUGUUUACUAUGGGAAACUCCCAGAUGGACGGGAAGUAGCUGUCAAACGCUUAUAUGAGCACAACUACAGGAGAGUACAACAGUUCAUAAAUGAAGUUGAGAUCCUCACACGUUUGCGUCAUAAAAAUCUUGUGUCCCUCUAUGGCUGCACUUCACGUCACAGCCGUGAACUACUGCUUGUGUAUGAAUAUAUUUCAAACGGUACCGUUGCUUGCCAUCUCCAUGGUGGAUUAGCCAAGUCUGGCUUACUACCGGGGUCUUUGCGAAUUAAAAUUGCCAUAGAAACUGCUAGUGCGUUGGCCUAUCUCCAUGCUUCGGGUAUCAUUCACCGUGAUGUGAAAACCAGCAACAUACUCCUUGACAGCAGUUUUUGUGUUAAAGUUGCAGAUUUUGGACUCUCAAGACUAUUCCCAGAUGAUGUCACCCAUGUCUCCACGGCUCCACAAGGGACUCCAGGUUAUGUUGAUCCGGAAUAUCAUCAAUGUUACCAGCUUACUAACAAGAGUGAUGUAUACAGUUUUGGUGUUGUGCUCAUUGAGCUUAUAUCAUCUAAGCCUGCUGUUGAUAUAAACAGGAGUAAGGAUGAGAUUAACUUGUCAAAUCUAGCCGUAAAGAAGAUUCAAGAAAGUGCAAUUGGUGAGCUGGUAGAUCCUUCUAUUGGUUUUGAUUCAGAUCAAGAUGUUAAGAGGAUGAUGGUUUCAGUGGCAGAAUUGGCUUUUCAAUGUUUGCAAAGGGACAAGGAAUUGAGACCUUCCAUGCAAGAAGUGUUGGAUGAAUUGUGUAGAAUUGAGAGUGGGAAAGAUGAGGUGGCGCUUCAAGAGGAGGCAGAUGUUCAUGGUGUUGGAGUUUCUCACAGUAACGUGCAUCCACCAUUACUAGCUUCACCUGACUCUGAUGAAGUUGGAUUAUUGAAAAAUAUGAAGCUGCCGACUUCACCGAACACUGUCACAGAUAAAUGGGAAAGUGAACGUACCACGCCUAAUGUCAGUGGUUAAUCACUUAGCUUAUUAUCAAUUGUUGAUAAUCCAUUUUUACCAUAUCAACUUUCAGCACUCAUUGUUAGUUGAAAAACCAGGAUGGGGUUCAUACGUCUUUUUGGAUGGAUUCGUGGGUGCCAGGAUGUCCUCAACUUGUUUCUCUGGCCGUUCAACCUAUUCCUCCUAUUAUGACUCAUUGGUCUACGUCUCAAUUUGUAACUUGUUAUGGUAAUUGGGACUGGCCUUUAUUUCAGCACCUUCUUCCUACUUCAGUAUUAGACAAGAUUCGUAGUGUGCUCCCUCCUACAGUGGAUCCUUCUCCGGACCGUGUUAUUUGGGCAGGUAGCCAAGAUGGGGUUUUUUCAGUGAAAUCAGCUUAUAACUAUCUCAUGGGUACCUCGCAUUAUCAUCAGGAUAGGAUUUGGAAGGUAAUUUGGGCUUGGCCUGGUCCUGAACGUAUUAGACAAUUCUUAUGGCUUCUCUACAUAGGUUCUCUUUUAACUAAUGUUCAUAGAGUGCAUCGUCACAUGGCUACAGAUGCAGGGUGUCUGAGAUGUCAUUAUAAUCUUGAGGAUAGUUUACAUGCCAUUAGAGAUUGUCCUGGUGCCAGGGAAUUAUGGGAGCAUUGGGUUCCUUCUGAUAUCCGUAGUGACUUUUUCUCCAUGGAUCUUCACCUAUGGAUUCAGACAAAUCUAGGAUUAAAAGGUCCGUUUCAAACUGAUCGAACUUGGCCUUUGUAUUUUGGGGUGAUAGCUUGGUGUUUGUGGGGGGAAAGAAAUAAGGCGAUCUUUGAUCAAACUAUCACCUCGAAGUAUGGUCUCAUUAGGCGCAUUACCUAUACUAGUGGUAAUAUUCAAUUGGCUAAUGAAACCCUUAUUAAGAUUGGUCAUCAGGAGCUUAGAAGAGAGGAACGUCUUAUUCACUGGAAUUUUCCCUCUGAGGGUUAUGUUAAACUUAAUGUGGAUGGUUCCAGUAUAGACAGUGGGCAAAUGACUGCAUGUGGUGGAGUCAUAAGGGAUGCUGCUGGGAACUGGUUAACUGGUUUUACAAAAUUCCUUGGGAGUGGUACUUCUACUUCAGCGGAAAUUUGGGGGUUCUUGACAGGUAUGGAUCUGGCUUGACAUAAGGGAUUUAGGAGAGUCUUUGUGGAGGGUGACUCCAAGGUGGCUUUGGAAUUUAUAAGAAAAGGGUGUGACAUAAGUCAUCCUCUUUCUGCUUUAAUCAUCCGAGCUCGUAGUAUGCUUCAAAGAGACUGGAUUAUUCAGCUUAGUCAUACUUAUAGAGAAGACAAUUUUGUUGCUGAUUGGCUUGCUACUCAUGCACCUCAUCAGGAUGGACAGCUGAUUGUGCUGGAUGUCCCUCCAACGACUUGUUUGGAAUUGCUUCGUAAUGACUUGAGGGGAGUUAGUCUCCCAAGAUUGUGCCCAGUAUAGGGCUUUUUUUGAUGUUGCUUUAGUUUUCAUUGUAUU
RNA transcript from Gastrolobium bilobum, 3512 nucleotides. It is a transcript of the gene named LEAF RUST 10 DISEASE-RESISTANCE LOCUS RECEPTOR-LIKE PROTEIN KINASE-like 1.2, with no coding region annotated. The record is from RefSeq and is a predicted model, not a curated record. The transcript has 5 exons. Lineage: Eukaryota; Viridiplantae; Streptophyta; Magnoliopsida; Fabales; Fabaceae.